CUGUUCUAGCCUGAUCAAAGAGAAUUUCACAUCAUAGCCCAAGAACUUGCCAGUCAAGAUGAAAAACUUCUUCUAAUGGAAUCCAGCUUGAAAGCUACUCAAGAGCAGCUAACUGAGCAAAUAGCAGAAACAGUUCGCCAAGAACAGAACAGUAGAAAACCCCAGGCAGAGCUGAAGACAGUGACAGAAGGGAUUAUUGCUUCUGAAGAAGAAAAAAAUGAUUACAAGUACAACUUCUUUCUCGUUCAUGGGCAAACUGUUAAAGAUGUAACCUCUUCCCGUUGGCUUUGGCAGGCCUCUACUGCAAGACCCUCUCAAAGAAUCUUCUAUUUUAUCAACUGUUACAACUUCAUUGCAAAAGGUGUGCAAGAGGAGGGAAAUUAAGUUGGUAAAUAUUUUGAAGCCAGACAAAUAUUUGGCCAACGUUUUAAACAGUGGAACUACUUAAUCAAAGAAAAAUCUUACUUAUAGGGCCAAAAAGGAAAAAAAAAAAAAAAAGAAUUGUACUCAUUGAAGUAGAGUUGGUAAGCUUGGAAGGUGGAUUUCCCUCCCUCUCUCUACAAGUCCUCACCCAUGACAUCACUGCCCUCCGCAGACACCACUGGAAUUUGAAAAGUAUUGGAAAACCCCUCUUGAACCAUAUAAUGAACAAUUAAAAGGUUACACUAAAGAAGACUGAAAAAUCAGAUCUGUGCUGGGGAGAUAAUGAAGACUAUGAAGACAAUUAGGAAAUAAUAAAAUGUUUGCCAAAAAGGUAUAAGGAAAGGAGGUGAGAAGGAUUUGAAAGGACAGUAUGCAAUUAGAGAGCAAAAAGACACAAAUGACAGAGACUUCUUUCAACUUGGUGGGCCAAAGGGACAUGCUUAUGUCAUUAACCAAUACAAUAAAAGGGAAAGAAACGUGAUUUUUGCAGAAGAAGAAAAAUCUUCUGUUGACAUAUUACUCUGGAAGAGCCUGCAAGAUAUCCCAGGCAAGGAUGUGUCAUUAGCAUAUGAAGUCAUGAACUCUGUGACUUGCUUACUGUAAUGAAAAAUUCCACAUGCAUAACUCUAUACUUUUUGAUUACUCUUCCAAUAAAGAAUUCUGUCUUUGGGGGCAUCUAAUCAUCAAAGAUUACCUCAUUCACACAAUAGAAUAAUCACUAGAAAACACAAUAGCUAAUUGGGACUCUUGAAAUUAAAUAUGGUGGUGGUUUUGCUUGUGGAAGGGUACUAAAUGGCUCAUGAUUUUAAUUUUAAUUAUAAAAAAUGACUUUCUAAUAGUCAUAACUGCCUUUAUAUCAAAGAGGUGAUAUAUUUCUUGUUACUGGAAAUGUUCAGUCUGAAUAAAGAAUGUCUGUUCGACAGGCAUGUUUGUCAAAGCACUCACGUAGCUGGUAAGUGGUUGACUCCUAAUUUGUAAGUUGUUCUGCAGUUUUCAGUAUCUGUGAGUCUAUGACCCCUCUUGAGUUUUAAGCUAAAAUGUCCACAUAUCAGAAAAAAUGUUACUGUUCAAUUGCUAAGUUUUCAUGGUCUCAACUUGAACCUUUUCCCACUUUCUCAGCUUACCCAUACACCACCCUCCAUAAGACAAGAAUGCAAGUAAAUAGCCUACAAAGAAGAUGUAAUUUUCUACUGCUACAGUUUAUUGCUCUUGUGAUGACAUUAUAGUUUACUGGAUGACAUAGGUAGAAUCAUGAGACUUAUUUCUGACUACUAUUUACCUCCCACCACCUAACCCUACCAUAUUUCCUGAAGAUUUUACAGUGUCUACCCCUACUUAACACUGCCGGUGAUUAAAUUUUUCAGGUAAAAUUUAGGAUCUGGAAACAAAACCUUCAUAAUCUGAUCUUGUGUAAUUGGUAGAGCAUCAUCUUUUGAUUUUACAUUUUUCCCAUUACAUUUUAUUUUCUAGCAAAAAUGACUUUUCAUUCCACAGACAUACACUAAAACCAAACAUAUCUGUGCCUUAAAUGCCUUGGUUCCUUUUCUAUACUGAAAAUAUUCUGCUUUCAAAACUUGAUCAAGUUUUAAAAUUUUUUCUCUCAUGACAUUUUUUAUCCUACUUCAAUAUCUAAUAAAUAAUUACAUUGUUACAAAUGAAUAAUUACAUUGUUAGUAGGUAUCUGUUGACCUCUAAGCCACCAUUUUAGAAAUAUGUGAUCUGCAUGUACAAUUUUAAAUUUUCUAGGACUAGCGGGGAAAAGGGGGAGCCCAGGUGACUCAGUUGGUUGGGCAGUUAACCCUUGAUUUUGGCUCAGGUCAUGAUCUCAGGGUCCUGGGCUGUAGCCCUGCAUCUGGCUCCAUGAUCACCGGGAGGCCUGCUAGGAAUUCUCUCUCUCUCUGUCUCCUUGGCCCCUCUUUCAGCUCACUUUCUCUCUCUCUUUAAAAUGAAUUAAUCAGUCAAUCAAGAAGUCUUUUAAAAAGAGGGGGGACCAGGUGAACCUAAUUUUAUUCAUAUUUAACUCAUACCAAAUCUUAUUAUUUCAAAAUAUAAUCGAUAUAAAAUUAUAAAUGAGACAUUUAAAUUUUUUAUAUUAUCUUUAAAAUCUAGUGUGUGUUUUACACUUAGAGCCCAUCUCAAUUUGGACAGGCUAAAUUUAAGUACUCAAUAGCACAAGUGGCUAUUGUCGUUUAUAUCUACAAAGCAGCAAUAGGAGUUGGCCAACAUUGGUUCAUGGCCAAAUCCAGCAUGAUACCUGUUUUAUUCUAUUUUAUUUUAUUAUUUUAAAACCUAUUUUAGUGUGGCUUGGGAGCAAAGGUAAAUUCUCACAUUCUUAAAUUGUUGAAAAAGAUGAGAAGAAGAAUAUUUAUUGACACCUGAAAAUGAUAUGAAAUUCAAAUUUCAGUGUCCUUAAUAAAGAUUUAUUAGAGCAUAGCCAUGGUUAUUCACUUAUAGAUUUUCUGCAGCAAGUUUCAUGCUAAAAACGACAGAGCCAAUUAAUUUUGAGUGGCUGUAUAACCCCAAAAGCAUAAAAUAUUUAUCUUCUGGCCUUUUACAGAAAAAGUUUUCUAACCUCUUCUUUAGAGGGUUCCUUCUGCUAGGAUCAUGAUCACAUUUUAGUUACCUUUGUUUGCACUCAGCACAUGGCUGACUCACAAAAGAGACUUAAAAAUUUCAGAAUAGAAUAUAUUUUAUAAAUUCAAUGAAACAAGCAUUUAUUGAACAACUGCAAUCCUAAAACAUACUCUCUAGACCUAGAAAUCAUACGUUAGAAUUUUUCCAGUUCAAAAUACUGUACCACCAGGACAGAGAAGUGAUAACACAGAAUCAAAAUCAGAAUUCUCAAUUCAGAUAGAUCUGGGUCCAAGUUCCAGUUUUGCUUUAUCUGUAAUCUUGAGUAAUUUAUGUACCUACCAAUAUUAAAGCGGUCAGUCCCCAAACAUGCCUAGCCCAGGCAACAAUGAAUCUGCUUUCUGUCGCUAUAUAUUUAUUUUGCCUUUUCUAAGAUUUUAUAUAAAUAUUUAUAAUGUAAAAAAAUUACUUCCUCUGUAGUCCUUUGAUUCACUACCCAUAAAAAGGCAAAAUAAUGCUUAACUCACAGGGUUAUUGCAACAAUUAAUUGAGAUGGUGUGUAUAAUAAUAGUAUACUGAC
This 3574-nucleotide long non-coding RNA is filed under the name Mustela putorius furo (domestic ferret). Its description in RNAcentral is "lncRNA (ENSMPUG00000027590.1)". Lineage: Eukaryota; Metazoa; Chordata; Mammalia; Carnivora; Mustelidae. The record is from RNAcentral.